This 813-nucleotide ribosomal RNA is filed under the name Triticum aestivum (bread wheat). Its description in RNAcentral is "partial small subunit ribosomal RNA". Lineage: Eukaryota; Viridiplantae; Streptophyta; Magnoliopsida; Poales; Poaceae. The record is from RNAcentral.
AUGGCGGGCUGGGCGUCCGGGACCUGGAGCGCACCAGGCUCUCGCUCUGGUUGCGCUGGCUAUGGCUUGCGCGCACGGACACGGACAGAGCAUGGUAGGGGCUGGACCUACAAUUUACUUCGGAGGAGCGCGCUCUUUUACGCCUCCACGACCAUGGCCCUCGGUGAUGGAAGGACCGCACUUUUUUGGGAGGAUCGCUGGCUUGGCGGUCAGGGCGUCCGCGAGCUCGCGCCCAUGCUCUUUCAGUGCAUCCCCAAGCAGCGCCGGAAGACGAGAACGGUGGCGGAGGCCAUGACCAACAAUCGCUGGGCACGUGACAUCCAAGGUCUGUUCGGCCUUCCUGAGAUCGGUCAGUACCUGAAGCUUUGGCACUUGGUGCAGUAUGUCGAGCUGUCCAACGAGCCGGACAAGCUGCUUUGGAGCUGGACCACCAAUGGCACAUACACGGCCCAGUCAUGCUACCGGGCAACAUUCCAGGGAGCGAUGGACUGCCACUCCUGGAAGCUCAUUUGGAGGACCUGGGCACCACCUAGAGUGAAGUUUUUCAUUGGCUGGCUUGCCAAGAUCGCUGCUGGACCGUCGAGCGGCUCGUGCGCCGCGGCCUGCAGCACCACCCGCGGUGCCUGCUGUGUGACCAGGAACCGGAGACGAUCAGGCACUUGGUGCUCACAUGUCCAUUCACCAGGCAGACAUGGCACGAGGUCCUAUCUUGGCUGCGCUUGCCGGCGCCGAUGCCCGAGCACGACGAUUCGCUUAUGGACUAGUGGCUGCGCGCGAAGGAGUUCACACCGCCCACUCUACGCAAGACGCUGA